Long non-coding RNA from Helicoverpa zea (corn earworm), 645 nucleotides. RefSeq lists it as uncharacterized. The transcript has 2 exons. Lineage: Eukaryota; Metazoa; Arthropoda; Insecta; Lepidoptera; Noctuidae. The record is from RefSeq and is a predicted model, not a curated record.
GUUUAUAGUAUCGAAAUGUCUUAAUUUUCGAUCCGGUCUAUAACUGUAGUCUUCCAUAUCGGUCUAUUCCGUAAUCUAUAUAAAUAUAGAAUUACAGAAAUAGAUGGUGGUGGAGGAGGUACAGGUAAUAAUGGCGGUGGUGGGGGCACCCCCAUCAAUGGAGCCCCUGGAGGAGGUGGCAGACGCAUGCCAUGGUUCUCCCACAUCUUGGGAGGAGGUGGAGGCAUACGUAGUGGUUCCAUUUUAAAUGCAAAUUGCAGGAAAAACUGUUUAGUAUCCUUGUUCCAGUGCGUCCAGAAUUUGGAGUCAUGUUUCUCCACUUCCCUGCUCGGUACUUUAAAUGCAAUUGUCUCAUAUGGCUCAGCAGCAAAUAACAAGUACUGCCAGCGACGGUCUGGAGGCUCUAUCUUUUGUUCAUAAGCAGACAUGAAGCGGUGCCUAGGCUGGACACCUUCAGCAAUUUCUAAAAUAGAGAAAAAUUAAAGGUUGAUUAAUACAAUGAAUUACGUAAAACCAUAUAUUUUCAGUAAAAUUAAGCCUCAGUUAAUGUAUGUAACUGCAACAACAUUACAGAAGAAAGAAGGGCUAUCAGUACUUGCUUUACCUGGGUAAUCAACUUGAAAUAAUAAACUCUGUUGGCCAUUC